Molecule: long non-coding RNA, 742 nt
Organism: Lepidothrix coronata (blue-crowned manakin)
Lineage: Eukaryota; Metazoa; Chordata; Aves; Passeriformes; Pipridae
Exons: 3
Source: RefSeq, a predicted model, not a curated record
UGCCAUUUUCCCUCUGGAAUGUGGGUUCCUGGUGGUGUGAUCCUUUGUGCUGUUUAAUCCUCUCCCUGUUUAUCCAGGCCUGGAAGAAAGAAUUCCUGGUUCCUUCAGCCCCAGGGGAAGCUGCUCUGGGAGUGUCCAGGGAAGGGCUCCCUGUGCCAGGAGUCUCCGUGUUUUCCUGUCUCUGGAGCCAGUUGGGUCUGAAAGUUGGUCGUUUCAACGGGGCCUCUGAGGACGUCGGAAAACGGGGAAUUAACAAUAAUCCUGCAGCUGAGGAGCCUCAGACAAAGCCAAACCUCCAGGAAGCAGAAAGAAUCCAAGGAAAAACACUGGCUCUUCCCUUCCAAGGGAUGAUUUAAAGCAGUGGGUCCCCUCGGAGGCUGCGGGACGUGAACGACCUCACACGGAACAGCCAAGAGCCAAAGAGUGGGGUUUCCUUCCAGUUCUGGGGCAGGAUAAACCCAGGAACUCCAGUCCUGGCACCCAAUGGUAACACAGCCCUCGACAGCAGGAAAAAUGGGAAAUAAACCUUAAAAGCUCCACUUCCAUCCCAAUUGCCCUCACAGCACCCUCUGGCUCACACACAGGGAUAGAGGCAUUUUUCCCUGGAAAUCUGAGCUCAGUCACCACACCAGAGGUUUGUAAUGGAUGGAAUUUUAGCAGGAUCUGUAGUAAUAGGAUGGGGGGAAUGGUUUGAAGCUGGAAGAGGAGGGUUAGCUGGGAUAUUGGGAAGGAAUUGUUCCCU